Molecule: long non-coding RNA, 468 nt
Filed under: Citrus sinensis (sweet orange)
Lineage: Eukaryota; Viridiplantae; Streptophyta; Magnoliopsida; Sapindales; Rutaceae
Description: long non-coding RNA (CSIN_LNC003749)
Source: RNAcentral
UGGAUUGUUCUCAUUCACUAGCUCAGGCAUUGGUCCCAGCUCCACUUCAUAACUUGGAGCAUAGAAUGUGACGAUUGAAAGCCUGUCUUUUUCUUUAUGUGUCACUGCCCUGUGCUCAACACUUUUGUAUCUCCCAUUUGUAAGAACCUGCGUAACAAAAAUAAAAAAACAGGAAUCAGCAAAGCAACAAGAAUUAAAUUGAUGCUGAAAGGAGAAGCGAAAGAUUAAAAUUUCUCGUUACAAUAUUGGGUACCUCUAUGGUGUCCCCGACGUUGAUCACAAGUGCAUUUGGAAUAGGCUGCACAGGAACCCAAGUGUUAUUUUUCAAAAUUUGAAGUCCUACUGAGCUGCCCUUUCCUUGCUGCAAAACUGUGAGGGCACUGCCAUCUGAAUGAGGGCUAAGACCCAAUACAAGGUCAGGUCUUGGACAUGGUGGGUAGUAGUUCAUCCUCACAGCCUGCACAGCAA